RNAcentral lists this ribosomal RNA (387 nucleotides) under uncultured bacterium. Its description in RNAcentral is "bacterial SSU rRNA". It matches the Rfam family "Bacterial small subunit ribosomal RNA", at positions 28 to 417 of the family's 1533-position model. The record is from RNAcentral.
GACGAACGCUGGCGGCGUGCUUAACACAUGCAAGUCGAGCGGUAAGGCCCUUUCGGGGGUACACGAGCGGCGAACGGGUGAGUAACACGUGGGUGACCUGCCCUCAGCUCUGGGAUAAGCCUGGGAAACCGGGUCUAAUACCGGAUAUGACUCCAUGACGCAUGUUGUGGGGUGAAAGCCUUGUGCGGCUGAGGAUGGGCCCGCGGCCUAUCAGCUUGUUGGUGGGGUGAUGGCCUACCAAGGCGACGACGGAUAGCCGGCCUGAGAGGGCGACCGGCCACACUGGGACUGAGACACGGCCCAGACUCCUACGGGAGGCAGCAGUGGGGAAUCUUGCGCAAUGGGCGAAAGCCUGACGCAGCGACGCCGCGUGAGGGAUGACGGCCU